UAAGCGGAGGAAAAGAAACUAACAAGGAUUCCCCUAGUAGCGGCGAGCGAAGCGGGAAAAGCUCAAAUUUGUAAUCUGGCGUCUUCGACGUCCGAGUUGUAAUCUCGAGAAGUGUUUUCCGRGAUAGACCGCAUACAAGUCUCUUGGAACAGAGCGUCAUAGUGGUGAGAACCCAGUKCACGAUGCGGAUGCCUAUUACUUUGUGAUACACUUUCGAAGAGUCGAGUUGUUUGGGAAUGCAGCUCAAAUUGGGUGGUAAAUUCCAUCUAAAGCUAAAUAURGGCGAGAGACCGAUAGCGAACAAGUACCGUGAGGGAAAGAUGAAAAGCACUUUGGAAAGAGAGUUAACAGUACGUGAAAUUGUUGGAAGGGAAACACAUGCAGUGAUACUUGCUAUUCGGGGCAACUCGAUUGGCAGGCCCGCAUCAGUUUUUCGGGGCGGAAAAUCGUAGAGAGAAGGUAGCAGUUUCGGCUGUGUUAUAGCUCUUUACUGGAUUCGCCCUGGGGGACUGAGGAACGCAGCGUGCUUUUAGCAUGAGCUUCGGCUUAU
This 550-nucleotide ribosomal RNA is filed under the name Sporobolomyces pararoseus. RNAcentral describes it as "eukaryotic LSU rRNA". It matches the Rfam family "Eukaryotic large subunit ribosomal RNA", at positions 47 to 610 of the family's 3401-position model. Lineage: Eukaryota; Fungi; Basidiomycota; Microbotryomycetes; Sporidiobolales; Sporidiobolaceae. The record is from RNAcentral.